CAGCGGCCCGGGCCGGCCGGCUCAGCCGCAGUGAGUAGGGCGGGGCAGGGGAACCAAGGAGUGGAGGGGAAUCGACGCAGCGUCAGAGGAGCACCCCCCUAUCCGAGGCCGAGUCUGACAGUAGGUUGGGGAACUCCCGGAGUGGACCUACUGGGACCCCCAGGGUGCAGGUUGGAAGACCCUGCUGCUAAGUUCGGAACAAGAAAAGGAGCCUGAAAUGGGGGUAGGGCAAGAAGAACUGAUGGGAAUAGAGGCAGUGUGCCUUUGGGAUGGAGCGAUAGAAGACUAAGUAGUCAGUAGAAUGAGGGGACCCCCGAAGGAGAGGACCCCAAGAUUUUCCUAAUAGACCCUCAGGAGAGGCGGUUCAGUGUCUUCAGCCGGCCCAGAACAGGGGAGGAAGAAAAAUAAUCCUGAAUGAAGGCAUAGUGGAUGCUACAGAAAAUAUAGGUAGCAGACCCCUGAAUGGAGGUACACUGUUUCCCUAGUAGGAAAGGGGCCACCAGGAGAGGGCUCAAGGAAUUUGAAGUCAGCUAUGGAAUAGGGGAGGGGGACCUGGAGUUGAGGGCAGCAAGGCUCCCCUGAAUUGGGGAUGUGGGAGACACUGCAGAGGAUGAAGGGAAGCCCAGAUGGGGGGCUGGGCACAGUGGUCUUUGUAGGAUAGGAGGUGAGAGACCCUGCAACCAGCCCUAACAAGGAGGGCCCUCAGUGAAGUGGGCAGAGGGUCCCCUGAAAAAGCAGAGAGGUUCAGAGAACCAAAAGUGGGGGUGCUGCAGGGAACUGGGCAUAAAGCUGGGAGAGCUGGUGCCUGUGUGAGCAGGGGGAAGUGACAGAUGUGUUAAGAGUAACUCAAGCCAGGGUCUGCAUACUGAGGUCAGCUCAGCAGUUGCUGGCCAAAUGACCUUGGACAAGUUGUGCACCCCCCUCCACACACACUCGGGUUUCCUAUCUGUAUACAGACAGGACUUGCCCUGUCCUGGGUCAGGCUGCAGCUCAAGACUUCCUUCCCCCCACCCAGCCCCAGCAGCUCUGCUUUGGGGGGGUGUCUCUGGACGAAUUGGGAGAGGAGAACCCUCCUGCUGCCUGUGGAUAUAGCAGCCACGUUCCUACAACUAGGAAGUCCAUGUUUCUUCCUCCCUGCUCCUCAUCUCCUUAGCUUCAACUUGUCAUCUCUCCCACACACCCACAGUAGACAAGUGGAUACCAUGAUAGGUCUCCCUUCUUACCCCCAGGGAAGUUAUGAGAUGCUUUUGGGAUACCAGAGUCUCUCACCCCCAUAAGCCCUAAUUCAGGUGGCAAAGAGGGCCCUGGUGUUUAGGGGGCCCUGCAACUGCUGGUAGCAUUUGGCUUUUUCUUGGGUUUGGCUCGUGUCAAGUGCCUCAGGAGUGUGGGAGGCACUGUGGGCUGGUGCUUCAGCACCAUGGACAGGACCUGUUCUUUGUUGGGGAGAAAAGGGGUUAACUUUUGCCUUUACCUUGAAGAAUGGGUAAGGGAAGAAUGGCACCUCCCCCUUGCAUGACCCUAUGCUAAGUGAAGGAUGGAGAACUGAGAGAGGUGAGUGAAUGAUCUAGUGGGGUCAAUCAGGAGCCAGAGACCCAGCCCCUUGACCUUCUGCUAGGGGUCAAGUCCUCUGUUUUCUGUGAAGUUCUCCCACAUACACAGGUGGGCUCCCUCCAUUGGGAGUUCAGGGGUCACCCAUAGGUGCCUGAUUCCAGAAAGGAGACUUGAGAUCCCUGGAGAGUCAGUGUAGAAUCCCCUCCCAGACCCAAACCUCUUUCAGGCAGUUAUCUCAACCCCACUACAUUUCCAGCUUACAUGGUUUUCUUUCUGUAGGAUCCCCAUGAGGAGGACAGACAGAUCCCCCAGAAAAGACCUCUGCCAAUUCUUUUUUCUUUGCCCUUCAUCUCCUGCCUGCACCCCUAGUUCUAAGCAGACCCUCAGACAUGGGGAAGUGCUGCUGCUGUCCCUUUAACCACGUUUCACUGGGAGGAGAGUGCGCUGGAGAGGAGGAGGAGGGGGAAGGGAGUUUCUGGUUUUGCAUGGAGAAGCAGAACAUGAUGAAGCAUUUUUCUCCCCCAUUUAAAGAUCCAGUCAUGUUCCAGUUUGCAGGGGCAGAAGGGCUGGUUUGCAGUUGGUGCUGGGAGGAUAGAGCAUGCAGAAGUCCCUGGGCCAGGAAUGGAACCUGUGCCACAGAAGCAACCCAAGCCAAUGCUGGUGACGAUGCUGGUUCCUUAACCCACUGAGUCACUGGGGAAACUCCUCAUUGGUCUUUCUUAAGGGACCAGUUCUAGCAAUUAGAUGAGGCUGGCCAUUACCAGUGGUCUAGGACUGUUGUAUUCUUAUUAUCUAGUGCAAGAAGCUAAGCAAUAAUAGGACUCAAGUCUAUCUGCUAAGAAGGGGAAGAGGUAACUCUGCUUUUACUCCUUUUUCAUUCCAGCAAGUCUAUGAAGUAGAUGCUGUUAGUAUCCCCACUUCAUGGUUUGGGAAAUGGAGGAUCAGAGAGGUUGGGUGACUUGCCCCAGGUCACAGCUAGUGGUGGAGCUGGGAUUCAAACCCAGGUCUGCGAGGCUCCACAGCAGGUAUUCUCAACUACAAGAGUGUGCUACCACCUCUCACAUUCAUAGGAAGGCCAGCUGAGUUCCCACAGGACCACUGCUUUACAACUGGACCUAUCACUUUCCUGGUCCUAUCACCCCUGGCUGGAGCUUUGCUCUGGGGGUUCCUUCUGGCAUCUUGGUGGAAGCAAGGGGGGUUGAUAACUGGCAUUGUCUUGAAGGAGGAGGCUUUCCAGGCAGGCAGAAAGUUGAAAUGACUGCUGACUCAGCUAUCUGGAUGUCCUUACCUGAGGAGACAGGUAAAUAGACAGCAGUCAUGGAACCAUGAUUAAUGUUCAUAGAGUAGAUCUUACAUCCUCAAGAAAACAAUUUUGGCAACUUUUGUGUGGUGAGUACAUGCCUCCUGUGUGCUGGCUUCCUGCAUACAUGGUGUCUGCCACAACUGCCCUAGGUCUGCAGGGUCGUCCUCCAGUACAGAGUAGGAUACCUAGCAGAGAAAGAAAGUGACCUGCCAAGGUCAGAGAACAAGGUGGUGGAGGGGCUGUGGCACACACUUAGGCCUCCUGCACUUCCCAAUAUUUCACAAUGGCCCUCAGAAAAAAAUACUUCAGUGAUGCUUCAUCUCUUUAUUCAGGAGGAGAAAGCUGUGCUUAGUACAUUUUAGAAAGCUUCUAUGCCAAUGAGUUUAAAUUGGGGUGUUGGGGCUUAGGGGGAGAACUAUCAGUUGAGUGAAAGUUCAUUUCCAGUGGUCAGUGUUGGCAGAUGAAUGAGGCAUUAUUUGGCCUUAAAGAGGCCCCUGUAAGUGGGCACACCUGGGCCUGGUGGAUGUGAAGCUUGCUUUGCUGGGGGCAGCUGCAUCCUGGCUGGUUCCUCUGAAGUCAGGCUGCAUGAGAACACAUAGGCCCUGGCAGCAUCCUGGCACCACCCAAAGCAGCAAACACCAGCAGCAAGGACACAUGCCAGGAAAGUUUCUGCAACCUCUUCCUCGGCCCUGAGCUAGGCGCCUGCCAUGGACAGAAGACUGCAGGAGCCCACAGCAGACCUAGACAGACUGUUUCUUCCACAGAAUUAUCUCACUAAAUAACUCUCGCUAAAGCCUAACAAGACUUGUCAUCAAGCCCAUUUUCCGGAGGGAGAAACCGAGACUCCAAGAACUACAGAACCUAUUUCUGUGUCUCAAUACGUAGGCCGGCUCUCCGACUUGACGGAAUCGCUCUGGCAACAGCGCCCUCUAAAGGCGGAGGCGAGUAUGCCUGCGUAACAGUCGUGCCCCGUCCUUUGGCGCUGGAAAUGGCGGAGGGCUCCCUCUGGCUUCUGAGGAUUGUCCAGCGCCCUCCGAGGUCCUGGAGAAGCCAGGAGCGCUGCCUACAACUCGGCCUUGACUUCCCCGCAGCCUUGGUCGCCGCAGCAUUGGGUCAGAGGCAUCCCUGGAGAUUGCAGAAAGUUAGCGGCGGCCCCUGUUGACGCAGCGAGUGACGGCCCGACAUACCCUGAUAGGCCACGGGGAGGGCCAGACGCAGAGCCUUGAAAGAAGGAGCUUGCGCUCUGGAAGGGGCGUGGCCAGCGCUCUUCCUCGAGGGCGGGGCUCUAGGGGAAGGGGCUCUUCUCUGGGAUAUUGUGCCACAAGCGAGGACACCCGUGCACCUAGCCCAGGGCCUGUGUCCUGGCGUCAGCGCAUCUGUGGGCAGCAACUUUACCCUCCCCAGACCUCAGUUUCUGCACCUGUAAGACGGAGGCUCUUCCACAACUGCAAAAAUCGGAGUUUCAUCCAGCAUUCUCAGAAUUCCUGUCUCCAGGCAGGCACUGAGGAAUCAGAGCUGCGUUCCUGUGGAGGCUCAGAGCUCUGAGAUCUCCUUCACUUGCUGCAUCAGUACUCCUGACACUGGAGAGUUCUGGAGGUUGGAGACCAGCCCCUUCCUGGUGGAACAGGCACCCUGUAGCCUGGGAUGUGACAGUCAUAUGACAGGGCCUGUAACAAGUAACAGUGGUAGCCCAAAUAUGUCGAGCACUUACUAUAUGCCUGGCUUUUCAUGAAGUCUGUCGCAUACGUUAUUUACACCCCCACCCGCACAGCCGUGUCUGGUGGUCCUGUUCUUGACAUCCUGUUUACUGAUGAGCCCAGAGUCACACAAUAGUAGCCAGUCCAAGGUCACCCAGCUAAUAAAUGGCUGAAGCAGUAGUCCACAGUCUCAUCCACUGUUCCGUACCAAAAAAAAAUGUUUAACCUGGAAGGGAGAUGGCAGAGGGGGAAAAUUACAAGAUCCUACCAGUGUUAAUCUAUACCACGAGUUGAGCCCUUAGUAUGUGUUGGAUGCUGGCCUACAGAUCAGCACCAUUUAUACUCCUGACAGUGACCUUAUACUAUAGGGUUGUUAUUUCCACUUCUGAGAGGUCAUCUCAUAUGUCUCUGGUCACACUGCUAGUACAAAACUGGAACUUUGAGUUUAAUGGAUGGUACACUCAGCCUGCCUGUAUAUCACUCUUAGGAAGACCCCACUCUUCUCUGAGCCUGUUUCCCGUUCUGCACAAUGAGAGGUUUGGACCAGAAGGCUCUGGACAUUGUUUCCUGAGCUCACAUUCUUUGAUUUUAGGAGCAUUGACAUGAUGUCCAGAGUCCUGGGUUUGUUCCUAAUUAUCUAUGACUUGGGAACGCCUCGGCCUAAUCCCUUGCAUCUCUGGGCCUCAGUUUCCCCCUUUGUAAAAUGUGGAGAUGAAAAGUCUCAAUCACCAAGGGACCUUCUGGCUUUAAUAUUUUAUGACUGCAAAUGAAGAGACAAGCUGAGGUUCAGCAAAUUGUGCAUCCUCUGAGAAAUUCUAAUGAAUGUGAUUCUGCCACCUUGCUCAAAACAUUCCUGGUGCAAGGCUUCCAAGGACAGAUGCCCAUGUAGGUCAAGGGGAACAGCCACCUCCAGAUAAUCAGCAUUAACUGCUGGAGGAGGCUCACUCUCCUGAUGGUCCAAAAUCCACCCCUGUGGUCAGACCAGCUUAAGACUGAAUGCCAGCACUUCCCCCUGGGCACCUCAGAGAAGUGACCCUUUCUGUGCCUUAGUUUCUACAUCUGUAAAAUAGGGUGCUAACAGGACCAGCUUCAUUUGAGAUUUGAUGGAAAAACAUGUGCAAAAAGCCUAACAUGGACAUUCCCUGGUGGCUCAGUGGGUUAAGGACCUGGCAUUGUCACUGUCGUGGCACAGGUUUGAUUCCUGGCCCAGGAACUUCCUCAUGCCAAGGGUACAACCCCAAAAAAAGCCUAACAUGCUACUUCUGGCUUAGGAAAACCCCCAAUAAAUACAACUGUUACCUAUUGUGUCUACAGCACUGUUCUUGGCACUAAGAACGUUCCUGAGCCUUAGACCCUACCCACACUCUGACCAAGAUGGUGUUAGGGGUGAGGGAAGAGAGACGGGGUCCUGCUGAGUCGUGGUGGGGGGAGACCCAGGUGUGGGACGCAGGCAGUCCCUGCCCCAGAGGCUGCGCACACAGGUUGCCAGGCCCGAUGGCAGCUGAAGUAGCAUUAACGAGCAUUCUAGCACGUCCCUGGCUAGCGGCAGCCCCUGGGAGGGGCAGCAGGCCAUGUGAGGACAGAGGAAGUGGAGGAGUGGUGUCAGAACUGCCGCAUUGUGUGCCAGGGGCUGCAGCUCAGUGCAGGCUCAUGGUCCGAGACAAGACAGGAGAAGUGCGUGCUGUGAUUCAGGCUCUGGUGAAGGGCGUUCACAUCUGUUGUGUCCCCAGGACAGGGCUGUGUGGCCUGUGCCAGAUUCUCAAACUGCAGUAUAGAGACCCUACCCCUGGGAGCCCGUGGGUUAACCAUAGGCAGUCAGGAGCCCUCAAAAUUGUGCAGGAUUGUGUGAGUGAUUCCCCAAGAGACAUAGACCCCCAAAUGUCAGUUCUAGAUUUAGGAAUCAGAAGAAUUGGUAUAAUUGGUGAUUCUAGUAAAUGGAAACCUGUGAUUCUGGGCAGGUGGUUGAAUACUCACCCCCACUCCUCAACGC
Non-coding RNA from Sus scrofa (pig), 6541 nucleotides. Lineage: Eukaryota; Metazoa; Chordata; Mammalia; Artiodactyla; Suidae. The record is from RefSeq and is a predicted model, not a curated record.